This 2046-nucleotide ribosomal RNA is filed under the name Gennadas gilchristi. RNAcentral describes it as "SSU rRNA". It matches the Rfam family "Eukaryotic small subunit ribosomal RNA". Lineage: Eukaryota; Metazoa; Arthropoda; Malacostraca; Decapoda; Benthesicymidae. The record is from RNAcentral.
AGUCAUAUGCUUGUCUCAAAGAUUAAGCCAUGCAUGUCUAAGUACAGGCCGAUCUACGGCUAAACCGCGGACGGCUCAUUAAAUCAGAUAUAAUUCAUUGGAUCUGUAGAACCCCACUUACUUGGAUAACUGUGGUAAUUCUAGAGCUAAUACAUGCCUUUAGAGACUCUGACAGCAAUGGAAGAGCGCUUUUAUUAGUUCCAAAACCUUUCGGACCUUGGGCCGUAAGACUUGGUGAAUCUAGAUAACCUCUGCUGAGCGCACGUCCUCGCGACGGCGCCGCAUCUUGCAAGUGUCUGCCUUAUCAGCUCUCGAUUGUAGGUUAAACGCCUACAAUGGCUAUAACGGGUAACGGGGAAUCAGGGUUCGAUUCCGGAGAGGGAGCCUGAGAAACGGCUACCACAUCUAAGGAAGGCAGCAGGCGCGCAAAUUACCCACUCCCGGCACGGGGAGGUAGUGACGAAAAAUACUGUAGCGAGACUCCAUCGAGGCUUCGCUAUUGGAAUGAGUACACUUUAAAUCCUUGUACGAGGAUCGAGUGGAGGGCAAGUCUGGUGCCAGCCGCCGCGGUAAUUCCAGCUCCAUUAGCGUAUAUUAAAGUUGUUGCGGUUAAAACGCUCGUAGUUGGCUCUCUGUUCUGGACUGGCGGUGCACCUUAGCGGUGCUACUGUACAGCUCCGAGCUACACACCCGCCGGCUCACCCGGGGUGCUCUUCACCGAGUGUCCCUAGUGGCCGGCACGUUUACCUUGAAAAAAUUAGAGUGCUCAGAGCAGGCUAACCUAACAGCCUGAAUGGUGGUGCAUGGAAUGAUGGAAUAGGACCUCGGUUCUAUUUUGUUGGUUUUCGGAACCCGAGGUAAUGAUUAAGAGAAGCAGACGGGGGCAUUCGUACUGCGACGAUAGAGGUGAAAUUCUUAGACCGUCGCAUGACGAGCUACUGCGAAAGCAUUUGCCAAGGAUGUUUUCAUUAAUCAAGAACGAAAGUUAGAGGUUCGAAGGCGAUCAGAUACCGCCCUAGUUCUAACCAUAAACGAUGCUGACUAGCGAUCCGCCGCAGUUAUUCCCAUGACCCGGCGGGGAGCUUCCGGGAAACCAAAGUAUUUGAGUUCCGGGGGAAGUAUGGUUGCAAAGCUGAAACUUAAAGGAAUUGACGGAAGGGCACCACCAGGAGUGGAGCCUGCGGCUCAAUUUGACUCAACACGGGGAACCUUACCAGGCCCGGACACUGGAAGGAUUGACAGAUUGAAAGCUCUUUCUCGAUUCGGUGGGUGGUGGUGCAUGGCCGUUCUUAGUUGGUGGAGUGAUUUGUCUGGUUAAUUCCGAUAACGAACGAGACUCUAGCCUAUUAACUAGUCGGUGGAUAUACAAGUGUCUGGUUAAUUCCGAUUACAAAGACCGUGAACGUAGUCCUUCUGACUCGGCGUGUUUGGCGUGGGUAAGUGCUUCUGCUGCGGGUCAACGGCGGUGUGGGGUUCGCCUCCACUGUCGUCCUCGUAGUGGUGGUAACUGCUCAUUGCCUGCCGUCGGGAAGGUCGGUACUGCAGAUCUGAUCGGUGUCUAAACCGCAGCUUCUUCUUAGAGGGAUAAGCGGCAGCAAAUAAAAUACUAGCCGCACGAGAGAUUGAGCCAUAACAGGUCUGUGAUGCCCUUAGAUGUUCUGGGCCGCACGCGCGCUACAAUGGAGAGUUCAGCAAGCUCUUCCUGCUCCGACAGGAGUGGGUAACCUUAUCAAAGCUGUCCUUAAAGGGGAUUGGGGCUUGCAAAUAUGUCCCAUGAACGAGGAAUUCCCAGUAGGCGCAAUUCACCAGAUUGCACCGAUUUAGUCCCUGCCCUUUGUACACACCGCCCGUCGCUACUACCGAUUGAAUGGUCUAGUGAGGGCAUCGGACUGGCGCUCUUGGAGUGGUCGCCUUGACUUCAUACGUGUAAGGCCUUCGGGUCCCUGCACGAGGUCCUGGUGCCGCCUCGAGUCGACGGAAAGAUGUCCGAGCUGGGUCAUUUAGAGGAAGUAAAAGUCGUAACAAGGUUUCCGUAGGUGAACCUGC